GUGAGCCAUCUUUUGACGAUGGUAGGAUAAUUAUUGACCUGAGGAAUAAUAUGGAUUUAUGUGGUUGUGAGAAUAGACUUUGUGUUUGUGAUUGUGAAAAUGUGAGUGUGUCUCUGUGUGUGCGCGCGCGCUUUCCUGAACCAGGGAUCCCACUUGACAAGGGGCGCAAGGAUUCACUUCUCUCUUGGACACUGACGGGUCUCGACAUGCAAAUUCUGCUCCUGGCGUUGGCCGUCAGUGGAAGAGCGUAGGUUCGGUGGGGUUCUGUCUGCCUCUGAUGGGGUGCGGAUGUGUGGUUCGUCACUGGUGAAUGGUGUUCGACGAUGCAGGUGGAUUUUGUGACGAGCGGAUUUACAAUGAGGGAAUGCUGUGAACGGGAAAAAUGAUGAGCUGUCCUAACUUGCCCAGACAUGCCAUGAUGACGUCACAGCUGACGUCACAGGAUGUGCGGAACUGGUGCUGCGAUGCUUUGCAACCUGCCUCUGUGCUCCGUCGCCCAGCGACGGUCAGCGGCCGUUCCGGGCCGCUUUCUUCAAGAUGACGUCGUUGAUCUUCAACUAAACUCCUUCUCUCCACUCUAUCUCUAUCUUUUUAUUUUAUUUUCUACCUAUUUUUUUAUUUUUUAUCAGCUCAACUAGCCCACAACUCACACAGUGGUCUGGACACGUCCUAGAUGCGCCCCAAUUAGUGUAAUGACUCCCUGAAUGAUCCUAAUUACUGGGGGGGGGGUCCCAAUUAGCUCUAAUUGCUCAUUAAUGGCGUCCAGGCCACUGUGAGAGUUGUGGGCCAGUUGAGCUGAUCCCAUACUACUCUUGUUGCGUUCUCUACAACUUUAAGUUGUCCGUUGUCAACAGUUGAUAUUUAACGUCCCGCUAAACGCUGAAUAUGCUCUCGAAAAGCUCAAAUAAUUCUACGGAGCAGACUUUUCCGUGAGCAAACUUUUUCC
This is a long non-coding RNA of Ornithodoros turicata, 946 nucleotides long. RefSeq lists it as uncharacterized. The record is from RefSeq and is a predicted model, not a curated record. The transcript has 3 exons. NCBI's taxonomy places the organism in Eukaryota, Metazoa, Arthropoda, Arachnida, Ixodida, Argasidae.